RNAcentral lists this long non-coding RNA (2514 nucleotides) under Helianthus annuus (common sunflower). RNAcentral describes it as "hypothetical non coding rna". Lineage: Eukaryota; Viridiplantae; Streptophyta; Magnoliopsida; Asterales; Asteraceae. The record is from RNAcentral.
GGUGGGUUUGAGAUAUGAAAACUUGAAAAAAUGGUAAAAUUUUCGAAGUUAUAAACUUAUGAAAUUGAAGCAAUUUGCUGGAAAACAUGGUCUCAGGCGUGUCGCGGGGGUCCCAUGCCCUCCUCCGCGUGUGCCUAGCUAAAUAGUCAAAAAGUCAAAUAAAAUCCUUUUUCACAUUGAAGUCAGAUCAAUUACCCUACAAACCAUCUCUCCUAUUUGAGCUAUUUCCCUUCUUCUCCGGUGACAUACCAUCGAUUCCUACAACCAAAUACACCACCGUCCUGCUCCUUCUUACUUGCCCACAUACCAUCUUCUUCGCCGGAGAUCACCGUACACCACCUCCAUCACGGCAACCACUGCCGCCACCCACAACACAACCACCGGCGACGAUUCACCUCCUUCUUCAUUCCGACCGACCUCCGAUUAUUUCAUCGGAGAACAUCCUGAUAUCCGGCGAACGACCAUCGAACCACCACCACCAUCGACUGCCACCAUGCUGACCGAUUACCACCGAGUGACCACCAUCGUCUCUCACAACGACCAUCGUCUCUUACAACGAUCAAGCAACCACCACUGUUCAUCUUUGAUUAAUACUAACGUUUUUUAGUUUUCUCUAACUUGCAGUCAACUCGGGAAUUCAGGUGUGAAUGUUUACUAUUUCUCUAUGGUGUCGAUUGCUUUUGUCCAUAUUCAAUCUUCAUUUGGACGAAAGUGAUUCGAACAAUCAGAUAAAGACAGGCGUCCCAUGUUGAAGCAGCCGCGAAUGAAAUGCUAUACGGUUGUGGUGGAACAAGGCUCGUAGGAAUUCAACCGCAUCAAAUCAGGGGAGUCUAUUCCAUUUAUCUAUGUAUUUUUAUUUAUGUUUUAGUGUGUUAAUAGUUUCUCGCUCCAUUGAGGACAAUGUAAGAAUUAAGUGUGGGGAGGGGAAACUAGCGUCUAGUGUGUCUUAGUUGUGUUAGUGUCGUGUCGAAAAAAAUAAAUAAAAAAUUGAAAAAAUCAAAAAUCCAAAAAAAAAAAAGUUGAAAAAAAUAGAAAAUGUCCCGUAAAAGUUUUCGCACAAAAUGGAAAAUGAUAGGUGUAAUUGAAUCAGUGGCAUUUCGAUUACUAUAUAUACGAGAUAAUAAAUAAUCGAUCACACGUCUAAUUUAGGAUAUGUGGGUAGGCCCAGCUGGUUGAAAGGUUCCUUAGGCUUGAUAUAAAAUAACUUAAAAUAGGAGUCUUGUGGGUUCUCGCCUUAGGAGCUAUGACAAAGCUGAAACUGUGGAAAGUAUAAGGGGUACGUCAUAAGUAAAAAACUUAUAAGUUUUUCCGAUUAAAUUGGCACACCUGUUUCUUUUUGUGAAAACAAAUCCGAAACAGUGUGGCGCCCAAAAAAAAAAAAAUUUUCCAUCCAUCCAUCUGAGCACAUGUAAAAAAAAAAAACGUGAAGUUUAUGGCAUUAACCAUGGGGAUGGUGACUCGUAUGGCGUAUGUCCGCUGAACUGAUCGUAUACAGAAGCAUGUAAGCUCACAAUAUCAUCCAUUCAUCCAUCAUAAAGUUUAAUCGGAAUAAUAUAAGAGUUUUUUAUAUAAGGCGGUAGAUUAUAAAUCUUUUAAUCUCAUAAGCUUGAAACGGGAAUAGGUGGAGUCGUAGUCUUUUGAGUGUGGGAUCCAUAGAUGACUAUAUAAUACUUGAACUUAAUGGAUUGAAAAUAAGGGCUUUGAAACCGGCGGUUGGGUUUAAGUGGACCGUAUAUCCACAAUCUUGGUUAACGUGAGAUGUGAUUUGUUUUAAUAAAAUAAUUGAAUACAUUGGAAGCCAUUUGUUUUGAUUGUGAUUCCAUUGCGAAUAAUUUUUUCGCGGACGAAAAAAGAUAAGUGUGGGGAUUUGAUCGGUGCAUUUUUAGUUCACGUUAUUGGAUAUUAUUUAUAAUAAAAAUGAAUUGAUAUGAGCAUAGUAUAUGUAUAUAUGUAUUAAAAGACAUAAAACUAGAAAAGUAGAUCUAAAUGAUUAGUAAAACGAUUGUAAUAUUUUGUAAGGUUAUAAUGGGUUGAUAUUUUAAUUUAUAUUGAAACCAUAUGUUAACAGGAAGUCAAAGUUGUAUUUGAUCUAAAAGAAUUGAUGUGAGCUCUCGUGAAUCAUGUGGGGACAUGGGCUAUUGCAAAACAUAAAAGUAAUUGGGCUUGACAUCAAAAUUAAAGAGAAUAUGGGUUGUUUGUUUGACCGACAACAAGGAAAGCAUAAAAGGUAUUUUACGGCAGAAUUUUAGGAGGAUUCAUUCAGCAGCCGUCGCACAACACAAACGAGGGACGAAUUCAUCAUCUUUAUUUAUCUUCCAAGCCAAUCUAUGAGGUCUAACCUAAUCGGGAUGACAACCGAAGCGGUAAAGAUCACCAUGCGCGGCUAAACUUCUCGUGACUUCUGCCCAGACGAACGUUUACGUGGUUUGACAUAAUUAUUUGUUUUUCUGAUUCUUGUAAACUGGUACAGCUUGACCACUUGUGUUGGAUUAUUGGUAAACUUUUCUUGUGUUU